AAAAAUCCUAUAUUUAUCUCUAAGGGUGCGUUUGGUUCGCGCUAUCUUUUAAAAAAUUCCUAGUAAUCUAAUGAAAAUAAAAAAAUAUGACGGUGUUUGGCUAAACGCACUAAGUAAUCUAGUUGGUAAUAUUGAAUUUACUUGGGAAUAAGAUUCACCCAAAGUACUAAUCUCAUUCCCUUGAGGGAAGGUGGGUAUCCUCAUAUUAAUGGAUUGAGAUAAUCAUAAUAUGUCUAAUCUCUUUCUUUCUUCCUACCCGCCGGCUAAUUGAUAUUAUUUUUCUUUACACUCUAACCUUAUAUCUCUCUCUAAACUUAUUUUUCUCCCUAAAAUUCAACUUUUUCUUCUCUCUCUAAACUAAGCUUUCUCUCUCUCUUUUUCUAAAAUUUCAACUCUCUCACUCCCUCUAAUUUCGACUAUAUUUUUCUUUCUAUUUUUUUAAGUAUGCUCUCUCUCUCUAACUUAUACUCUUUCUCCCUUUUUUCUAAAAAGAUGUUGGAACUUUUGGUAACAUUAUCUAAAAUUAAUUAAAUUAAUUAAUUAAUUAAUUGUAUAUUUUUUGCAAUAUUAAAUAACAUGGCUAAUUAAUAUUACCGUGCGANGAUGUUGGAACUUUUGGUAACAUUAUCUAAAAUUAAUUAAAUUAAUUAAUUAAUUAAUUGUAUAUUUUUUGCAAUAUUAAAUAACAUGGCUAAUUAAUAUUACCGUGCGAACCAAACACAGGAAUUCCACAUUCUUAGUAAUAGGAUGAAUAGGAAUAAGAUUCUCGGAUAUCUUUUAUUCCUAGUAAUCUUUCAUAAUGCGAACCAAACGCACCCUAAUUGUUAUAUUUAUAGCUUUAAUGUAUCUGGUUUGGUUCACCUGGUUUGGUUCAAAAAGAGAAAAAAGAAAUCUUAUUCAAUUCAAACAAAAAAAAGAACCCGGUUUAGUUCAAGCCGAAAAAAGCAGAAUUUGAGCUAGUUUGAACAUGUUGACCCAAAAACAAAGAAGAGGAAACUCGGUUCGAUUCAAAUCAAAAAAGAGCAAAACUCUAGCCGGUUCGAGCAUGUUGACCCGGUUCAGUAAAAAAAGAUAGAAAUAGAAAGAAAACUUGAGCCAGUUCUGGUUGGCACGUACACUAAACAAUCCGGUUCGGUUCAAGUAAGAAAAGAUGAAAUAUGUGAAGAAUUUGAGCCGGUUCGGAUUGGCACCCACAUUAAACAAUCCGGUUUGGUUCAAGUAAGGAAUAGAUGUGGAGGAUUUGAGCUGGUUCGGUUUAAGUAAGGAAUAGAUGUGAAGGAUUUGAGCUGGUUCGGAUUGGUGUCUAU
RNAcentral lists this long non-coding RNA (1307 nucleotides) under Ananas comosus (pineapple). RNAcentral describes it as "long non-coding RNA (ACOM_LNC037446)". The record is from RNAcentral. Lineage: Eukaryota; Viridiplantae; Streptophyta; Magnoliopsida; Poales; Bromeliaceae.